Molecule: ribosomal RNA, 396 nt
Filed under: uncultured bacterium
Lineage: Bacteria
Description: partial 16S ribosomal RNA
Rfam family: Bacterial small subunit ribosomal RNA
Source: RNAcentral
AUACGGAGGGUGCAAGCGUUAAUCGGAAUUACUGGGCGUAAAGCGCACGCAGGCGGUUUGUUAAGUCAGAUGUGAAAUCCCCGGGCUCAACCUGGGAACUGCAUCUGAUACUGGCAAGCUUGAGUCUCGUAGAGGGGGGUAGAAUUCCAGGUGUAGCGGUGAAAUACGUAGAGAUCUGGAGGAAUACCGGUGGCGAAGGCGGCCCCCUGGACGAAGACUAACGCUCAGGUGCGAAAGCGUGGGGAGCAAACAGGAUUAGAUACCCUGGUAUUCCACGCCGUAAACGAUGUCGACUUGGAGGUUGUGCCCUUGAGGCGUGGCUUCCGGAGCUAACGCGUUAAGUCGACCGCCUGGGGAGUACGGCCGCAAGGUUAAAACUCAAAUGAAUUGACGGGG